CCUACGGGAGGCAGCAGUGAGGAAUAUUGGUCAAUGGGCGAGAGCCUGAACCAGCCAAGUCGCGUGAGGGAGUACUGCCCUAUGGGUUGUAAACCUCUUUUGUCGGGGAGCAAAAGCCGGACGUGUCCGGCUGUUAGAGUACCCGAAGAAAAAGCAUUGGCUAACUCCGUGCCAGCCGCCGCGGUAAUACGGAGGAUUCGAGCGUUAUUCGGAUUUAAGGGGUUUUAAGGGUGCGCAGGCGGAUUUUUAAGUCAGCGGUCAAAUCGUGGGGCUAAACCCCAUCCAGCCGUUGAAACUGGGGAUCUAGAGUGUGCGAGAGGUAUGCGGAAUGCGUGGUGUAGCGGUGAAAUGCAUAGAUAUCACGCAGAACCCCGAUUGCGAAGGCAGCAUACCGGUGCACAACUGACGCUCAGGCACGAAAGCGUGGGUAUCGAACAGGAUUAGAUACCCGAGUAGUC
RNAcentral lists this ribosomal RNA (458 nucleotides) under uncultured bacterium. RNAcentral's name for it is "partial 16S ribosomal RNA". It matches the Rfam family "Bacterial small subunit ribosomal RNA", at positions 338 to 795 of the family's 1533-position model. The record is from RNAcentral.